This 643-nucleotide long non-coding RNA is filed under the name Capsella rubella. RNAcentral describes it as "long non-coding RNA (CRUB_LNC004771)". Lineage: Eukaryota; Viridiplantae; Streptophyta; Magnoliopsida; Brassicales; Brassicaceae. The record is from RNAcentral.
CCAGAAUCAGAAUUAUCUGAAUCAUAAAGCACAUCACCAUUAUCUUCACCAGAUCUCACCUGGUUAUCCACAUUAAGUUUGUUCUUCUUACAUAACUCUUCAACAUUGUUCACAUUGAACAUCUUAAGCUGUUCUCCUGAAGAUGACUUAGUCUCAAGAAUGACAGAGUUGUUGUCAGAUGACUCAGCGAAAGAGUUCACCACCAGGUUAUGUCCUUUCUUGAAACUAGAAUCCAUGGACAACAGCAUCAGGGACAUUGCCAUUUCCUGCUGCUCAGGCUCGAUCCCGGAAGCAUCAGAAUAAGCUGAAUUGGAUUGAUUCAUGAUACCAUUAUCACCAACAAGAAAAUUAGCUUUGUAGUGGUGUUUCACAACAACUCUCUUGGAUCUUCUUCUGAUAGGAGAGGAAGAAGCCUCAGUAUCAGAUUGACUGUCCAUCACAAUCUUCUCUCUCUCAGAGUGACAAGCCAUGUGACCACAAAGAGCUUUAGAAGAUACAAAACCUUUACCACAUUCCCUGCAACAAAGAAGUUGCUGGUGUUGCUGUUUCAGAGCCAUCAUCCGUCUGUGAUCCACAAACCUCUUGUUCUUUUUAGGAUUCUCUCUGAGACCGUAACUAGAUUGACCACCAUUUUCAUCAAUCA